AGAGUUUGAUCCUGGCUCAGGAUGAACGCUAGCGGCAGGCCUAAUACAUGCAAGUCGGACGGGAUCCGGCCUUUCGGGGCCGGUGAGAGUGGCGGACGGGUGCGUAACGCGUAUGCAACCCACCCUGUCCCGGCGGGUAGCCGGUGGAAACGCCGGGUAAUCCGCCAUGCGCCCCUGGGGGGCAUCCCCUUGGGGUGAAAGCGGCGACGCGGGACGGGACGGGCAUGCGUCCCAUUAGGUGGUCGGCGGGGUGACGGCCCACCGAGCCCACGAUGGGUAGGGGAUCUGAGAGGACGGUCCCCCACAUUGGAACUGAGACACGGUCCAAACUCCUACGGGAGGCAGCAGUGAGGAAUAUUGGUCAAUGGACGGAAGUCUGAACCAGCCAAGUAGCGUGAAGGAUGACUGCCCUAUGGGCUGUAAACUUCUUUUGUUUGGGAAUAAAGUGAGCCACGUGUGGCUUUUUGUAUGUACCUUACGAAUAAGCAUCGGCUAAUUCCGUGCCAGCAGCCGCGGUAAUACGGAAGAUGCGAGCGUUAUCCGGAAUUAUUGGGUUUAAAGGGAGCGUAGGCGGACCUUUAAGUCAGCGGUAAAAUGUCAAUGCCCAACAUUGGCCUGCCGUUGAUACUGUUGGUCUUGAAUACACACAAGGAAGGUGGAAUUCGUUGUGUAGCGGUGAAAUGCUUAGAUAUGACGAAGAACUCCGAUUGCGAAGGCAGCCUUCUGGGGUGCGAUUGACGCUGAGGCUCGAAAGUGCGGGUAUCAAACAGGAUUAGAUACCCUGGUAGUCCGCACAGUAAACGAUGAAUGCUCGUUCUUGGUGAUAUACUAUCAGGAACCAAGGGAAACCAUUAAGCAUUCCACCUGGGGAGUACGCCGGCAACGGUGAAACUCAAAGGAAUUGACGGGGGCCCGCACAAGCGGAGGAACAUGUGGUUUAAUUCGAUGAUACGCGAGGAACCUUACCCGGGCUUGAAUUGCAGAGGAAAGAUCCAGAGAUGGUGAUGCCCUUCGGGGCCUCUGUGAAGGUGCUGCAUGGUUGUCGUCAGCUCGUGCCGUGAGGUGUCGGCUUAAGUGCCAUAACGAGCGCAACCCUUGUCAUCAGUUACCAUCAGGUAGUGCUGGGAACUCUGGUGAGACUGCCAUCGCAAGAUGUGAGGAAGGUGGGGAUGACGUCAAAUCAGCACGGCCCUUACGUCCGGGGCUACACACGUGUUACAAUGGGGGACACAGAGGGCCGCCACCGGGUGACCGGGCGCCAAUCCAUCAAAAUCCCUCUCAGUUCGGACUGGAGUCUGCAACCCGACUCCACGAAGCUGGAUUCGCUAGUAAUCGCGCAUCAGCCAUGGCGCGGUGAAUACGUUCCCGGGCCUUGCACACACCGCCCGUCA
This 1391-nucleotide ribosomal RNA is filed under the name uncultured bacterium. RNAcentral's name for it is "16S ribosomal RNA". It matches the Rfam family "Bacterial small subunit ribosomal RNA". The record is from RNAcentral.